GACGAACGCUGGCGGCGUGCUUAACACAUGCAAGUCGAGCGAUGAAGCUUCCUUCGGGAAGUGGAUUAGCGGCGGACGGGUGAGUAACACGUGGGUAACCUGCCUCAAAGUGGGGAAUAGCCUUCCGAAAGGGAGAUUAAUACCGCAUAAUAUGAGAGAAUCGCAUGAUUUUCUUAUCAAAGAUUUAUUGCUUUGAGAUGGACCCGCGGCGCAUUAGCUAGUUGGUAAGGUAACGGCUUACCAAGGCAACGAUGCGUAGCCGACCUGAGAGGGUGAUCGGCCACAUUGGAACUGAGACACGGUCCAGACUCCUACGGGAGGCAGCAGUGGGGAAUAUUGCGCAAUGGGGGAAACCCUGACGCAGCAACGCCGCGUGGGUGAUGAAGGUCUUCGGAUUGUAAAGCCCUGUUUUCUGGGACGAUAAUGACAGUACCAGAGGAGGAAGCCACGGCUAACUACGUGCCAGCCGCCGCCGAAA
This 478-nucleotide ribosomal RNA is filed under the name uncultured bacterium. RNAcentral's name for it is "partial 16S ribosomal RNA". It matches the Rfam family "Bacterial small subunit ribosomal RNA", at positions 28 to 523 of the family's 1533-position model. The record is from RNAcentral.